AUUGAACGCUGGCGGCAGGCCUAACACAUGCAAGUCGAACGGUAGCACAGAGAGCUUGCUCUCGGGUGACGAGUGGCGGACGGGUGAGUAACGUCUGGGAAACUGCCCGAUGGAGGGGGAUAACUACUGGAAACGGUAGCUAAUACCGCAUAACGUCGCAAGACCAAAGUGGGGGACCUUCGUGCCUCACACCAUCGGAUGUGCCCAGAUGGGAUUAGCUAGUAGGUGGGGUAAUGGCUCACCUAGGCGACGAUCCCUAGCUGGUCUGCGAGGAUGACCAGGCACACUGGAACUGAGACACGGUCCAGACGCCUACGGGAGGCAGCAGUGGGGAAGAUUGCACAAUGGGCGCAAGCCUGAUGCAGCCAUGCCGCGUGUAUGAAGAAGGCCUUCGGGUUGUAAAGUACUUUCAGCGGGGAGGAAGGCGGUGAAGUUAAUAGCUUCACCGAUUGACGUUACCCGCAGAAGAAGCACCGGCUAACUCCGUGCCAGCCGCCGCGGUAA
Molecule: ribosomal RNA, 504 nt
Filed under: uncultured bacterium
Lineage: Bacteria
Description: partial 16S ribosomal RNA
Rfam family: Bacterial small subunit ribosomal RNA
Source: RNAcentral